UACGUAGGGUGCGAGCGUUACUCGGAAUUACUGGGCGUAAAGCGUGCGCAGGCGGUUUUGCAAGCCGGAUGUGAAAUUCCCGGGCUUAACCUGGGAAUGGCAUUUGGGACUGCAAGGCUGGAGUGCGGCAGAGGAGACUGGAAUUCCUGGUGUAGCAGUGAAAUGCGUAGAUAUCAGGAGGAACACCGAUGGCGAAGGCAGGUCUCUGGGCUGACACUGACGCUCAUGCACGAAAGCGUGGGGAGCAAACAGG
This 253-nucleotide ribosomal RNA is filed under the name uncultured bacterium. RNAcentral describes it as "partial 16S ribosomal RNA". It matches the Rfam family "Bacterial small subunit ribosomal RNA", at positions 524 to 776 of the family's 1533-position model. The record is from RNAcentral.